CCUACGGGUGGCUGCAGUCGAGAAUCUUCGGCAAUGGACGCAAGUCUGACCGAGCGACGCCGCGUGCGGGAUGAAGGCCUUCGGGUUGUAAACCGCUGUCAGUGGGGAGGAAGGUCCUGUGAAGAGCAGGAUUUGACCUAUCCGCAGAGGAAGUGUGGGCUAAGCUCGUGCCAGCAGCCGCGGUAAGACGAGCCACACAAACGUUAUUCGGAAUUACUGGGCUUAAAGGGUGCGGAGGCGGCGUGGGUGUGAAAUCCAUCGGCUCAACCGAGGAAUGGCGCUCAAAACUACCGUGCUCGAGGGAGAUAGAGGAGUGCGGAACUUACGGUGGAGCGGUGAAAUGCGUUGAUAUCGUAGGGAACACCGGUGGCGAAAGCGGCACUCUGGAUCUCAUCUGACGCUGAUGCACGAAAGCUAGGGUAGCAAACGGGAUUAGAUACCCUAGUAGUC
RNAcentral lists this ribosomal RNA (450 nucleotides) under uncultured bacterium. Its description in RNAcentral is "partial 16S ribosomal RNA". It matches the Rfam family "Bacterial small subunit ribosomal RNA", at positions 338 to 795 of the family's 1533-position model. The record is from RNAcentral.